Non-coding RNA from Podarcis lilfordi (Lilford's wall lizard), 9108 nucleotides. The record is from the annotation of a GenBank genome assembly. NCBI's taxonomy places the organism in Eukaryota, Metazoa, Chordata, Lepidosauria, Squamata, Lacertidae.
GUGUUGUGGUGGUGGGAUUUUUUUAUUUUUAAGUUCCAAACAGUUGCAAUGCAAAGUUCCUUUUGUCUGGAAAUCUGGUAGAACAGAAGGAUCUCAAGAAGCACCAGUGAAGCAGAUGGGCAACAGGAUUCAGCCUGUUCUCUCUGGUGGCUUCCACAUUGGGGCCCUUUAGCACUGCUGAGGCAUUGCUUUUCUGCAGCCGGUUUUGAAACCUAAUGAAAGUGGUGAUUCCACCCGGCACUUAAGAUUUUAGCUAUCAGCACUCUUGCCACUCAUGGCGGGAGUGGGCAACCUUAUCAGGGUCCAGCGCUGCAUUAUCUUCAGGGAACAUGGUGGGGGCCCCAUACGUCUGGCUGUGAGUGAGGCCGAAGCAAAAAAAGGUGUCUCUCUCCCCCUUCACUCAUUAUCUAUUAAUUCUUUCUUCCAGUGUUAGAUAUAUAACGUACUAAAUCAGAGUUUCCCAAACCUGGGUCUCCAACUGUUGUUGGAUUAGAAUUCCCUAGCUAUCAGGACCAGUGGUGAGGGAUGAUGGGAAUUGUAGUCCAAAAACAGCUGGAGACCCAAGUUUGGGAAACCCUGUGUUAAAUGGCACAUUGAACCUAGGUUGCAGUUGCCACAACAAAAUGUCUAGGCACUAUUUCCCCUCCCUCAUGGGGAAUAAUAAUAAUAAUAAUAAUAAUAAUAUCAUUUCUGUACUGCUUUAUAUUUUAAUGAAAAAAUCUCAAAGUGGUUUAUAACACAUUAAAGCAAUACAGAACAAAACAAAUUCAAGCUUCAGGGAAAAUAUUUCAGAUCCUUCUCUAAGUGACAUUUUCCUUUCCCCAGAUUUAUUUACCUACUUAAUUCAUAGAGUGGCCCCAUAGCAGAAGUACUCUAGGAAGCCAGAGUGGUGUAGUGGUUAGAGUGUCAGACUAGGAGCUGAGAGAUCAGGACUUAAAUCUCCAUUCAGCCAUGAUGCUCACUGGGUGACCUUGAGCCAGUCACAGCCUCUUAACCUACACACAGAAUUGUUGUGGGGAUUAACUGAGGAUAGGGGUGAACUGUGUGCUCCUUGGAGAAAAAAAGUGGGAUAUAAAUGCAAUAAAUAAGCUCUUCUGCUUACCUGCUUAAGAAAACAGGAGGGUCCAACCAGAUAGAGAUGUUAGUCACCAACUUGGCAUCCAGAGAUCUCCACGUGGUUGCAAUCGAUCCUGCGCCAGUUGCAAAACGUGCCUUGCGCCUGGCUAAUUUCUAACACCACCCUCUUCCCACACAUAUUAUCUCACCCAAACUUCUGUCCCAUCCACCCAGCCAUCUAUUCUUUUCCUUUCUUUCAUGCUGUCUCUCUGGGUUGUGUUUGUGUGCACCAGAGGAGAUGGAGGGCAAGGGACUCUGUGCUGUAGACCAGGGGUAGGCAACCUAAGGCCCAUGGGCCACAAGUGGCCCAUGGGGGUUGUUUAACUGGCCCACGAGCCACCCCUGAACCAAGCCGCUGCUCAGUGAGUCCCCGUGCGCGGCGCUAAACUGGCGUGGCGCGGGGACUCGCUUCCGCUGCAACGGAAACCGUGUCUGCGCAGACGCAGAUGCUGGAAAUCGUGUCUGUGCGGAUGCAGAAGCCGGAAAUAGCUGGCGUGUGUGUUCAGGAGUGCGCGCAAUCCAGCCCAUGGAGGGAUCUACGCUGGAGUGAACCAGCCCAGGCGAGGUAAGCCUUGCCAACCCCUGCUCUAGACCCUUCUAUAAUAUAAGCUCACAAGUUAGUCUCAUUCAGCAAUGGUCCCUUGCAGUGUUGAUUAAAUUUCCUCCUUGCAGCCUCUGCCUCUUUUUCUUAAAUGCAUGUUCAUUGUAGCUGGCAAAUUAGUGAUGAAUUGUCUCCUAAUUAGUCAAGUUCUGUUCCCUGCAGUGGAAUAAUGGUUUCAUUAUUUAUUUUUCUUUUAUAGCAAAAUAGUCCUAAAAGACAGAAAGGGCGGGGGGGGGGGGGAGAGAGAGAUAAAGGAUACCAUUAAUUAAAGUCUCCCCUUUCCUGUGGAGAACAGCAAUUGACUAAUUAAAGGGCAAUUCCUCACUAAUUCCCUGGCUGAGGCUGAACAGGAAGUGAUAAAAAGGGCAGAAGCUGCAAGGAAGAAACUUUAAUUAAAAACACAGUAGCCCCUAAAAGCCCUUAUACCAGGAGCAGGCAGGCUUAGGGCUUGUGGAAUCUACUUUUGAUUGGAACUCCAAAAUCUACCAACCAGAGCUGGGUACAAAAGACAUACAGUUAGAACUGGAGGACGUGAGCACCUUCUGAGCCUAAGAAUUAGCUUUCAGUAGCAGAACUGAACCAAAGUCACGGCCCUUUCACACAAAAGUCUACUCCUGGUUAUCUUUCUUCAUUCAACAGCCUGAUUUAAGCGCAGAAAGUCAUUGUGCUAUUGCUAUUGUUGGAAACAAUUUGGAGUCAGAAACUCUUGCCAGUCUUCUGCAAAUCAGCCUGCGAUCUACCAGGAGACCCCAAUCUGCCUUCUGCCUUCAUCUGUACUAGUAUAGUACAUUGCCUGUCCAACACUGGACAAGCUGGGACUUUAACUGUGUUAUAUUGUAAAAAAUAAACGAAAUCACAAAUCACUUUCUGGGGAAUAAAAAUAUGAAAGGGCGAUACAGAGAAUGUUGGAACACAACUAUUUGUCAGCAAGAUGGAUUAUCCAUAAAAAGCGAAUGAAGAGGGGGAGUCAUUGCAGAGAAGAACCAGCGCGUAAGCAGCCUCUCUUUUCUAUGUGUUUUUGUUUUGGACGAAAGCUGAAUCUGGUUGUCCUCAUAGGCAAGAAAACACCCAAUGUGUCUUUGUACCUGGAGAUGCAGCUUAAUUAAGGUGAUCCAAAAGCCUUUUGUGAUGCUCAAGGAGUUGACUCAUGUGUUCAAACAUCUGGAGAGCAGCGCAAUAUGGAUGCUGAAUCAUCAAUUUUAUAGGCCCUUCAGUGGGAGACAGAGGCAAAUUUGGUGCACUUCUUUCUUCCUUGAGCAAUAUCCAUAUUAGCAAGUCUGUGUCUCAUUCUCUCUCCCACCCCCCAGUCCCCAUUUGGACCUACAAAUGCACAUUUCCUUUCACAGUUGUGACGGUCCAAUUGGCUUGGGCAUUGUUGAGGUGCUCCCUCCCUAUUCAGUAGGCACACCUCUCCCCCUUCCCUCUUACUUUCUCUCUUGAAGGCUGCCAGCCAAGCCUUUAAGCUUGGUACAGGGCUGAGAUGGUUGGUGGUUGGAGAGGAGACAACAUGGCAGUUGUACCCCAUUGAUAUCCAAGGAAAGAGGUGCACCUUGGGAGGGACAUGAGGCGCCCCCAGAUGACCCGUUUAUUGAAUAUACAUCCCAAUUUGCUUGCACAGAGCUUGCACAAAGUUUGUCCAAUGCCUGUUCUUUAAUGACCAUUCCCUCUGAGUUGUUUGUGGGGAGGUUGUACACCUUCCUGUCAAUCGGUUGUUGACCUGCACUUUUUCAUGCGUUUUCCCAUUUCCUCUCCUAACUGUAAAAACCUCAUUUUUUCAAAAAGUAGAUUAGUUGCAACGGAGCGCUUUAAUCCACUUUCAUUGUGCAAACCUAAUGUUCCAGUAUGUGAACAAAUCCCUCCUGCAAAAGAGGGGCCAUCUGUAGGUGUCUAUAGUGUGUGCAUGUGUGUGUGAGAGAGAGAUCCACAAGGUGUCUCUUGCACACCUUCCAACGUCACACAGAUGAAAGCAGGGACAUAACUUGCUACUCCCCUGUUCCUCCUACAAAGGAUCAAUGCCCUCAUCCAAAUUAUAUUUUGCUGAAGGCUCUGCUCCACUAGCUAUAUUGACUUAAUCUGCAAUCGUCUUUUGGGCAAAGAAGAACAUAAUUGUCCUGCAAUAUGCUUUCAGCAGCCUGAAAUAUCCUUCAUUAGCAGCAGUGUUUGAAAUGGUAGGCUACCUCGUUUAUUCUUAACGAUUAUACUCCGCUUUUCAAUCAACUGAUUCUCAAGGUGAUUUACAACAGUUUGUAACAAUACAAGAAUCAAACACACACACACACCAUCCCCCUCACUGAUGGAUGGGGUCAGGGCAUGCUUCCCUUUGGUUCCAUAGUUCUGGCUAUUUGGUGGUUGGAGGCAAUAGUUCUCUCUGGGAAGAAGGGCUGGUGGAUGGGGCCUGGCUGGUCUUUCUUCUGCCACAGUGCUCUUCCUGCAUGGCAGGGAGUGGACCUUCCAGUGGACCUCGUUCCCCUGGCUCUUUAGCACAUGUGCUAGGGACAAGGUGCACCCAUGCUCUUCUAGAACAGGGAUAGACAACCUGUGAGGCACGACCAUUAUAAAAAUAGAUUUUUAAAAAUAACCAUAAAUUAAAACCAUUUUAUCAAAUUGUUGUGGCUAUUUUUUCUUCUCCAAUAAGCCUAAAGUGGUUGGGACAGCAUGAGGAUGGUGAUUUUGUCAUUCCUCAUAAUCUUACACCUCUUGAAACUAGGGACAGGGAACCUUUUGGCCCUCCAAUUAUUGCUGGAUUACAAGUCCCAUAAUCCUGAUCGUUGGCUGUGCUGGCUGAGACUGAAGGGACUUGCACUUCGACAACAUCUGGAGGACCAAAGGUUCCCCACUCAUGGCCUAAGCAGACAUUUUUACAAUAAUAUGUCAAACCGGUGGUGGUGGGGAACCUACUGAGUUACUUUUAAACACAAAGCACAAACGGUUCCAGGCUUAACACCGUAUUGGGUACCUUAAACUUUCAGAUUCUUUAGAACACCCGAAGCCACUGCCACAAAUUCUGGUGCUUUUCAGUCACCAUGAGGAAGACUGACUGCAGUAAGAAGAUAUGGUAUUGGCAGUUGGGGGUGUCUUGGCCUCAGCAGAGAGCAGCCUUUCUCUGAAAACACCUGUCUACCUGGUCUGAUCCAGGAGCAGAACUGCUCACAGGUGUCCAGGCUGACAGAGCUGCUCCUGCCAUACAUUAAUUCCCCCCCCCCCCGACAGCUGACUGUUACCAUCACAUGUUGGAAAUCUAUCUAGAUCAGCGUUCUGACUAUUGCAGAAAUACAGAAAAGACAAAUACCUAUCAGGAUUCCCUACCGAGGAAAGCCCCGUGAAGCUGAACUGUUACUUACCUGUCAGAAGGAAUUAACUUUGAACCUUUUGUCAGAGCCUUCCUGUAAUUAAAAUGCUGGGAACGUUUGUGUUGGCUGUCCCCUGCAAGGAAGGGAGUUAAAAGGUCAGCAAAUCCCAUAGGCUUAUAUUAAAACAGGUUUCCUCUCACAGUUCACUGCCUGCCUGAUGGGGAUCAGCUGGUGAAAUAGCCUCACCAACCUGUGCACUUUCACUCUCCUCUCAUUGAUGCCUUGGAAUCUCUACCUGCUAAAUCCGUUCUCCCGCAGUUUUAACAGCUAGGAUUUCCCCAGCCCCUGCCACUGUGAAUCAAUGCUUCCUAGCACAGUAAGGAGCCAUUAGCCACCCCUCAUUUGGCACCAGGCCCCCCACUAAUCCAGUUUUGGAUUAUGGGGAUCUUGUGUUUUCGGGCAGGUAAAGCACAUAAUCUGGAGUUUCGUGGGUCCUGAAAAUACCCAGCAAAUCACUUGUGGGAGUUUCCCCCACCCUCUGAUCUCAGGUAUUUUCUCCAGCACCUGCCUCUUUGACACUGAGUAGCAGCCAGGUAAUUUCAGCCUUUGAUGAGAUAGAAUGCUUCCACAAAAGCAGUUUGCUUCCCUGUCCAACAGAACCUUGCACUGUGUUGUGAGUCUGCUCAAAGGGACACCAGAGCAUCCACCUUAUGAAACUCUUCAGUGCCGAUGACCCUGAUCUUAAAUUUCAGAUACUUUGGCCAUCCUGCUUGCCUGGCUGUUUGGGUCUGGGCACUGUAAUUUUCCAAAGAAGCCAAGGAACAGCCUUCUAGCUCUGUAGCUUUUCUGGCAUCAAAUGCAAUUCUAAACAAAGGCUUGCCUCUUUCAGCUUCCUGAUGGCAUCUCCAUUGCUGCAUAUCACAACCCUUGUUUGUCUGAGAUUUGUCCCGGAGAUUAGGGCUUUUGGCUUGCUCCAUCUCUGUCUUGACUGCCACCUGCUUCCUCGGGGAGUUUCACAUUAAGCAGAGCAAGAUUUAAACUGCAUUGAGUUGAUGCACAGAGAUGACUGUCCCCAAAGUUUAAAACUGUAGCCACAGUAUCAGCGCUAGCCCACCCCACUAUGUUAACAACGUUGUGAUUUAGUAAGUACAGUGGUAACUCGGGUUACAUACGCUUCAGGUUACACACUCCGCUAACCCAGAAAUAGUGCUUCAGGUUAAGAACUUUGCUUCAGGAUAAGAACAGAAAUCGGGUUCCAGCGGCGCGGUGGCAGCAGCAGGCCCUAUUAGCUAAAGCGGUGCUUCAGGUUAAGAACAGUUUCAGGUUAAGAACGGACCUCCGGACCGAAUUAAGUACUUAACCCGAGGUACCACUGUAAGCCUGAAUAGUUAGGAUUGCCUUCUCCUGUCUCCAGCCAAAUAAGAUGGCUCCUGGCUAUGGGUUAGAUUGGGUAUUUGUGAUCAGAGUUGGUAAAGGACUGCUUUUAGCCAUCCGUGUUCCUCACAAUCUUCUGUUUUUCAUUUAAAAUUAGGAAAUAAUUGACAGCUCUCCCGUUUUGCUGUUCUCAUGCUGCUUUUCAGAUCACUCUAGAGAGUCUUCUUUUCCUACUAUUUAACAUCUCUUUAAGUGCUAACAAUGUGUUCUAUGUGCUGUGCAUGAAAAUUCUGUUUAAGUCUGGAUGUGAGAUGCUUGUGUGGUCUGUCAAAGCAUUCUGAUUAUACAUCCUCUUCAUCCCCCGACAACCUUCCCCCAAAGGAUGGAUAAUUCACUCCAGUGCUACCUUGCCACUUGAUCCAUCCAUGCCUCAAGAGUUUUGAAGUAUUUCAGCUUGGCUGUGUACUGCAACAUCACCCUAGACUAUUGUAAACACGGAUUGCAUCAUUUAAAAUGCCUCUGGGAAUGGACUUUGCCCCAUUUCCUUUUCAGAUAUGCAUGCCGCGUUGGUGCAUUUUGCACUCUGAUAAAUUAAGUGGUCGCUUGGCGGUCUUGGCUUAAAAAUGGGCAAAGCGCCCAUUUGAAGGUAACUGGAGACGGCAAACAUAUUGUCCCAGAUGCCUGGGUGCUGAAUUCUGCUCAUCAGCAGUUUUGUUGUUCAAAAAUUAAUCUGUGAAACAUAACUAGUUCCAGGCAUGUGGGUUUGUGUGGUGUGUGCUCAUUGGAGAAGAAUCCUGGAGAUGCACACAAAGCCAAAUGACAAAAAGUCCACAGAGAUUCUGACUUCCUAGUAGCAGUGGGCAUUUUGGCAUGCGAAACCUCUUAAAAUGGCACGGGCCCAGACUAUCUGAAUGACCGCUUCCUUCUGUAUGAGCUUUCUCACUCACGUCUUAUCUGAAGGCGUUUUUCAGGGUUCCUCUCCUUGUAUUGAAGAAGGUGUGGUUUGGAGUUGGGACCUUCUCUGCUGUUGCACCCCUCCUCUAGAAUUCCGUUCCUCAAAGAGUUUCCUUGGCGCUUUCAUUGUUGGCUUCUAGGCACAAGGUAAACUUUUACACACUGUUGGGAAUUUCAAAUUCAGUCUCUGCAGAGGACUGAGCAAUGGUUCCUGCAAACCCUAUUUUGGCAUGGAUCUUCGUUUGUAGCCCAGCUUGUGCCCAGCUGCAAAGGGGGGGGGGGAGAAUCAGAAGCAUACGGCCUAUUCUUUCCUUUGGGUCAUUUGGAAUGGGAAUGUCAGGUGAUUGACAGGUGGGCAGUUCCACCCACAUGCAGUGUUAGAAACUGAGAUAUGAAAGCUAGGAGCUAAAUGGUGCCUUAAACCUACCGGUAGGUUAUGGGCGCAACAAAGGAAUGUCUAGGCACACUUUUUUUAUAACACGAAUGCAAAGCUGAAAAUGAAUGAACUGCAGCUAAAAUAUUAUGUCCAUUUUUCAUAUGGUCUAGUCCUCCCCCUGCCCACCCCCCUAAUAUUCUUAAGAGGGUCUCUUCUCCACUCUUCAGAGAGUAGCUGGAAGUGGGGAAGCAGAAAAAGGUCCUCCUUGGGUGGCCACUAGGGGCGCAUUGGGAGAUGGCUGACAAUAACAUCUCUCCGACCCACACGAGGUAAUUAAGAGGCUGUGAUGGGAGUAAACAGCCUCCCGGCCCCCCCAAGCGUGUGGGGGGGGGACUGCCCUUGCCUGCUGUGCCCUAUACCACCCCCGAGUUUGUGGGGGUGGGGGCACUAGGCAGAAAGCCCUUGUGCGGAUUUCGGCGCUUCUGGACGCUGUCUCUGAUUCGCGCCCCUAGCUGCAGUAAUUUCAAAAGAAACAAUUAGGAGGAAGCUAAAUGCACAUAUUUCAAGGAAGAAGGGGGAGUAAAGACUGCUAACUGAAGAGAUCUCUGAUAAACAAGACUGGUCGGAGGAUUAAGAAUAAAUGAUGAGAAGACACACUAAGGCUUGGUAUGUUCGGCAACGGGACUGGAUGGGGGAGGGGGAAAAACUUUCCUUUCUUUUCUCUAUGUGAUUAACCAAGAAUCCCCCCCCCACAAGUCACAAGUCAGAAAUGGCGUUUAAAUGACUUAAGCUGUGGAUUUUAGACUGUGUGGAGAUAAUUUUCUAACCAAAGCAUGUUUCAAGAAGAUCGUGGAAAGCAUAAGAGCUUUGGAAUGACACAGCAAAAAAUAUCGUCACCAUCUUGGCAAGUUAUGUCGAAAGAUUUAUGUCUGGGAGGAGGAAAGAUCUGUUUACAUAUUGUGGGAGAGCCUCCUCAGAGGGACUAAAGUGCGACAGACUUGCCAGAUUAAUGAUGGAAAGAGUGCUGUUAUUUAUGAAAGUGAUGAUAUAUGGAAACCAUCUUGAUAUGAUGACUGGACGAAUGGAAAAAUUCACACAGGAUUAUAAUUGGUGUUUACCUGCUUAAGGAGAUCAUCAGAAGAGAUCAUAAAUAAAAAAAGAAAAAUAUACGAACAAGAUGAGAUGUGGAAACAGCAAGAUAAGACUGGGUAGUAUUAUGAAUUUUAUUUGGACAGAUUUGUGGAUAUUAACGCAGCAGCAAGAUGAGGAUCGGAAUCCCCCUUCGGAACUUGAAAUAUGGGUCACCCCAACAAAAAUUUAAAAUUCGGCUUUGUAAUUCGGAAUUUAUGUGAUGUGAUUUGAUUUGAUUUGAUUGGUCGGUUAAUAAAAAUUAUUUU